Anas platyrhynchos (mallard) is the source of this 1368-nucleotide long non-coding RNA. RefSeq lists it as uncharacterized. NCBI's taxonomy places the organism in Eukaryota, Metazoa, Chordata, Aves, Anseriformes, Anatidae. The record is from RefSeq and is a predicted model, not a curated record.
AAGAAAGAAAGAAAAAAAAGGCCUUUUUAGUUGCUUCAUUUGUAAAAAUGUGGUGGCUGCUGCUGGUUUUGAAUAGAGCAAGGGCUGAACCAGGUCCCUAGGCCCCUGGUCUCAGUGUUCCCACCCCAAAAGGAUGGAGCCUGCUAGCCUGUGGCACAAACGCUUUCCAGCUGGCUUGAGGUGAGACUUCUGGCUCCCUUCCCUUCUCCCCCAGCACUUAGCUUUUCCUACCGCCUGGCUCCAGGCGGCUUUCUGCUCGCCAGAUUGCUUUCCCCGGCGUCUUGUUACGCGGGGAGCUCAGGCGUCUGGCUGGGUUUGGGUUUCGUGGCCAGGGCUGAGGAGACGGACGCCCAGGGACAAACCUGCGCAUCCUGGAGUCCUUCUGUCGGCGCUGUGCUCUCCUCUCCGUUGACAGGACCCAAGCUCUGGUGGGGUCGGCUGUGAGCCUUCUGGGGGUGAGUACCGAGCCACGAAAUGCUGCAGUUUGUUAGCCAGAACCAAACCCUGUCAGGCAGAGCUGUCCUAAAGUCAGCUGUUGUCUCCGAUUCUCAGCCACAUUCAGUCUCAGGCACACCCACGUGCAAUUUUCAGCCUGAAGGACGCUGUUCUCCCCAGCAGAAAUAACCCCCCAGCAGCUUUCCUUCAUACAAAGGCAAAUCAGGUGUCUCACUGUGUCUGAUAAAUGGAUCCUCCUGCAAUAAGAUAUUCCAGGAAAUGACCCUGGCAGGGUGCCUGGAGGGUUUCCUAAACCAGGGUAGCUGCCUCUGCAGCCAGAGCUGGAGACUGCAAUUUAAUAAGCUCGGUGCAGCUGGCACCAAUUUGGAAACUAUUGUGCAUACGAGCAAACCGCACUCAUUCCCAGGGGUAUUUGGCCUUGGAUGUGAGCGCAAGUGGAAUUUGCACUGAGUUUCUACAGAGUUUUCCAUGAAAUUUUUACAUGCAGAGGGUCAGCUGUGGCAUGCAGUCCAUCAUCACGCCAAUUUCACAAAUCAAUAGGUAAACAGAUCAACCUUCAGUUGCUUAAGUGUAAUUUUUUUUUUUCCCCGCAUUUUGAAGGGUGAAAGGGAAUGAUCAUGCCAGAACCGUCUCUCUUAUUUUCAAAGAGGGAAAUGGAUCCCUGCUUUUAACUGGUCAUAGCUGCUGAAGAAUGACAGACUGCCACAAAACCCAGAACAUCUGCCCAGACUGCUACAGGACACGCUGGAUCUCCUCCAGAGGCUCUGGCAGCAUAAUGCUGAUUUGUAAGAAGCACUGUUGAAAUCCACGCAUACAUAGAAGUUUUUGAGUAACAAAGAACUGGCUAUUUCAGGCUUCUGGGACGUCUUAGUUGAAGCUAUUUUUCCAUUAUUAAACGGUUUUGUGGGUUUG